RNAcentral lists this ribosomal RNA (193 nucleotides) under marine sediment bacterium DGGE band e'. RNAcentral's name for it is "partial 16S ribosomal RNA". It matches the Rfam family "Bacterial small subunit ribosomal RNA", at positions 682 to 873 of the family's 1533-position model. The record is from RNAcentral. Lineage: Bacteria; Deltaproteobacteria.
UGAAAUCCGUAGAGAUCAGCAGGAACACCAGAGGCGAAAGCGACUGCCUGGCCAAACACUGACGCUGAGGAACGAAAGCGUGGGGAGCAAACAGGAUUAGAUACCCUGGUAGUCCACGCCGUAAACGAUGAUAACUAGGUGUUGGGGGAAUUGACCCCUUCAGUACCGAAGCACACGCGUUAAGUUAUCCGCC